RNAcentral lists this ribosomal RNA (253 nucleotides) under uncultured bacterium. Its description in RNAcentral is "partial 16S ribosomal RNA". It matches the Rfam family "Bacterial small subunit ribosomal RNA", at positions 524 to 776 of the family's 1533-position model. The record is from RNAcentral.
UACGAAGGGGGCUAGCGUUGCUCGGAAUUACUGGGCGUAAAGCGCACGUAGGCGGCUCUUUAAGUCGGAGGUGAAAUCCUGGAGCUCAACUCCAGAACUGCCUUUGAUACUGAGGAUCUUGAGUUCGGGAGAGGUGAGUGGAACUGCGAGUGUAGAGGUGAAAUUCGUAGAUAUUCGCAAGAACACCAGUGGCGAAGGCGGCUCACUGGCCCGAUACUGACGCUGAGGCACGAAAGCGUGGGGAGCAAACAGG